UACGGAGGGUGCAAGCGUUACUCGGAAUCACUGGGUGUAAAGGGAGCGUAGGCGGGGAUGCAAGUUGGGUGUCAAAACUACCGGCUCAACCGAUAGUCGCACUCAAAACUGCAGCUCUUGAGUGAAGUAGAGGCAGGCGGAAUUCCUAGUGUAGCGGUGAAAUGCGUAGAUAUUAGGAGGAACACCAGUGGCGAAGGCGGCCUGCUGGACGGUGACUGACGCUGAGGCUCGAAAGCGUGGGGAGCAAACAGG
This 252-nucleotide ribosomal RNA is filed under the name uncultured Ruminococcus sp. RNAcentral describes it as "partial 16S ribosomal RNA". It matches the Rfam family "Bacterial small subunit ribosomal RNA", at positions 524 to 776 of the family's 1533-position model. Lineage: Bacteria; Bacillati; Bacillota; Clostridia; Eubacteriales; Oscillospiraceae. The record is from RNAcentral.